Molecule: long non-coding RNA, 1188 nt
Filed under: Mus musculus (house mouse)
Lineage: Eukaryota; Metazoa; Chordata; Mammalia; Rodentia; Muridae
Description: RIKEN cDNA 4831407H17 gene (4831407H17Rik)
Source: RNAcentral
AUGGCUGCUAAGUUUCUGAGCCGAGCAACUAGAGAAGCAGCUGUGGGUGGAAGACAUUGGAGGCAGGGGGUGACCCCCAAGACAAGGAAACUGACCCAGAAGGAGAUUAAGUGGCCGGUUGGAAGUCUCAAGGGAGCCGAAGUUGAGCUCCACAGUUGCCAUACAUUGUAUCUUCUGCGAGGACACAUUUUGUCCUCAGAGUCCUUCAGUUUUUAAGAAACAUUUCAUCUGAGCUAAGACCAUCACACUCUAAGGUAAUAUGUAUCUUUAUCCGCUCUUCCAUCUGGCAGUUUAAGGAAAUCUUAUUAUAAUUUCACUUAUCACAACCAGAAAACUCUGAGAUGGAGGGGGAGCAGGAGCAGGAGGAGGCGCAGGAGGAGGAGCAGGAGGAGGGGCAGCCGCCUGACACUGCCUAGAUGACCGGGAACCAAAGGUAAGCACUUCUCUAAUCUGAGUGCUAAGAGGAAACAGAAGCCUGUGAGCUUGGAAAAUGGUGCUCUGGUAUAGACUACAUGCGUGAAGCAAACCUUCAGAGCCACACAAAAGCUCCUCCCACCCAGCUGCAGCAGAUGUUAACGACCAGAGAAGAGGAGGAUGUUGGAUCUGCUUCUCUGAUCAAAAACAUUUUGCCAUUGUCUAUUGCUCUUGUUGUUGUACACUUCAACAAAAACCUCGGUCGUGAGAUUGUAAGACCUGCUGGGUUUUAGCUGAUUCUCACUGAACUAUGUUUAGCUUUGUUUUAAAGACUAUUAUGUGAAUUAAUGUUUUACAUGCAUGUAUGUAUGUGGACCACAUGAAUGUCUGAUGCCUCCAAAGGCCAGAAAAGUGUCAGAUCCCCUGGGACUAGGGGUAUAUGGUUGUGAACUGCCUUGUUGGUGCUGGGAACAAUACUUGGGUCACCUGCAAGAACAGCAAGCGCCCUUAUGCACUAAGCCGUCUCUGUGUUAUUUAGCUUAUGGGAAGGCUAUAAUAAUACAACCCCUACUUUUCUUCAAUUUCUGGUCUAAAAACAAACUCCAAACUCAGAUUCGGAUUCUCUCUCUUAUUUUACUUCUUUCUUAGUAAAUAGUCCUGACUAAUGAGCAUGGAAAGCCAAUUCUCUGAAUCCAUCAGCUGUGAAAAGCAGGCUUCGCUGGCCUGCCUGCCCCAUCUGAUUGUACUGUUCCUGGAUUUUAGAAGUCCAAAUGG